RNAcentral lists this ribosomal RNA (390 nucleotides) under Triticum aestivum (bread wheat). RNAcentral describes it as "partial small subunit ribosomal RNA". Lineage: Eukaryota; Viridiplantae; Streptophyta; Magnoliopsida; Poales; Poaceae. The record is from RNAcentral.
AUGCUUAAGCGAAGGCACUAUAACAUCGGGGACGAUCACAACUUCUUGCUCUGUGUCCACAACGUUGAAGAAACUGUUGAACACAUGAUUUUCACUUGUGUUUUCAGCAAGCGGUGCUGGAGUAAGCUUGACAUCUUUUGGGACCCAUUCCCUGGCAGGCUCCAAGCUAUUCAAGACCAGAAGAAUAAACACCUGUCACCUUUGUUCCUGGAAAUGUUCAUUGUGGCGGCUUGGAGCAUCUGGAAGGAGAGGAACAAUCACCACUUCAGAGCUAUACCACCCUCCUUUCAGUCUUGGCUUGGGAGAUUCAAGAGAGACUUUGGGCUUUUACAAUACAGGGUGAAAGAGGCACAUAAGCCUUUGGUGCUUAAUAUUGUAAACUCUCUUUGA